UGGGGAAUAUUGGGCAAUGGGCGAAAGCCUGACCCAGCCAUGCCGCGUGAGUGAUGAAGGCCUUCGGGUCGUAAAGCUCUGUGGGGAGGGACGAAACAGCCUAUGGCUAACAUCCAUGGGCCUUGACGGUACCUCCUUAGCGAGCACCGGCUAACUCCGUGCCAGCAGCCGCGGUAAUACGGAGGGUGCAAACGUUGCUCGGAAUCAUUGGGCGUAAAGCGCACGUAGGCGGUCCAGCAAGUCGGAUGUGAAAUCCCUCGGCUCAACCGAGGAAGUGCAUUCGAAACUGCUGAACUUGAAUAUGGAAGAGGGUCGCGGAAUUCCCGGUGUAGAGGUGAAAUUCGUAGAUAUCGGGAGGAACACCAGUGGCGAAGGCGGCGACCUGGGCCAAUAUUGACGCUGAGGUGCGAAAGCGUGGGGAGCAAACA
This 428-nucleotide ribosomal RNA is filed under the name uncultured Kofleria sp. RNAcentral describes it as "partial 16S ribosomal RNA". It matches the Rfam family "Bacterial small subunit ribosomal RNA", at positions 355 to 774 of the family's 1533-position model. The record is from RNAcentral. Lineage: Bacteria; Pseudomonadati; Myxococcota; Haliangiales; Kofleriaceae.